CCAAUAGCGUAUAUUAAAGUUGUUGCAGUUAAAAAGCUCGUAGUUGAAUUUCGGGAUCAGUACGCUGGUCAUGCCUUUGGUAUGCACUGGUGUCACUGGUUUCUCCCUUCUGAAGAACCGUGAUGUCAUUAAUUUGGUGUCGCGGGGAAUCAGGACUGUUACUUUGAAAAAAUUAGAGUGUUUAAAGCAGGCUCACGCUUGAAUACAUUAGCAUGGAAUAAUGAAAUAGGACGUUUGACCCUAUUUUGUUGGUUUCUAGGAUCGACGUAAUGAUUAAUAGGGAUAGUUGGGGGCAUUAGUAUUCAAUUGUCAGAGGUGAAAUUCUUGGAUUUAUUGAAGACUAACUACUGCGAAAGCAUUUGCCAAGGAUGUUUUCAUUAAUCAAGAACGAAAGUUAGGGGAUCGAAGACGAUCAGAUACCGUCGUAGUCUUAACCAUAAACUAUGCCGACUAGGGAUCGGAUGAUGUUAAUUUUUUAAUGACUCAUUCGGCGCCUUACG
Molecule: ribosomal RNA, 500 nt
Filed under: uncultured Glomeromycotina
Lineage: Eukaryota; Fungi; Glomeromycota
Description: SSU rRNA
Rfam family: Eukaryotic small subunit ribosomal RNA
Source: RNAcentral